This 200-nucleotide unclassified non-coding RNA is filed under the name Exophiala sp. RNAcentral describes it as "partial internal transcribed spacer 2". The record is from RNAcentral. Lineage: Eukaryota; Fungi; Ascomycota; Eurotiomycetes; Chaetothyriales; Herpotrichiellaceae.
UUAAGUUCAGCGGGUAUCCCUACCUGAUCCGAGGUCAACCUUAGAAAGAUUCUCCCUGAGGGGAGGCAGACCGUGCCCCGUAAACCCGUGUGUCCGAUACGUGUCCCGUGAAGAACUCAGUGUACCGGGGGUCUAACGAGGCCGCCGUCAUUGUCUUUGGGAGGGGCAGAUGCCCGCAAGGGGCCUCCACCAAACCGUCC